RNAcentral lists this unclassified non-coding RNA (332 nucleotides) under soil metagenome. Its description in RNAcentral is "partial contains 5.8S ribosomal RNA, internal transcribed spacer 2, and large subunit ribosomal RNA". The stretch from base 1 to 120 matches the Rfam family "5.8S ribosomal RNA", at positions 35 to 154 of the family's 154-position model. The record is from RNAcentral.
GAUGAAGAACGUAGCAAAAUGCGAUAAGUAAUGUGAAUUGCAGAAUUCAGUGAAUCAUCGAAUCUUUGAACGCACAUUGCGCCCGCCAGUAUUCUGGCGGGCAUGCCUGUUCGAGCGUCAUUUCAACCCUCAAGCACAGCUUGGUGUUGGGACUCGCGUUAAUUCGCGUUCCUCAAAUUGAUUGGCGGUCACGUCGAGCUUCCAUAGCGUAGUAGUAAAACCCCCGUUACUGGUAAUCGUCGCGGCCACGCCGUUAAACCCCAACUUCUGAAUGUUGACCUCGGAUCAGGUAGGAAUACCCGCUGAACUUAAGCAUAUCAAUAAGCGGAGGA